AAUUAACGCUGGCAGAGUGCAUAACACAUGCAAGUCGAGCGAGGUGGCGGAUUAUCGCGCCUAGCGGCAAACGAGUGAGUAACACGUAAGCAACCUACCCUCGAGUGACGAAUAACGCACCGAAAGGUGUGCUAAUACGUCGUAUUAUCUUUUGGCGGCAUCGUCGAAAGAUGAAAGGCCCGCAAGGGCCGUUCAAGGAGGGGCUUGCGUCCCAUCAGCUAGUUGGCGGUGUAACGGACCACCAAGGCUAUGACGGGUACCCGGCCUGAAAGGGCGGACGGGCACGAAGGCACUGCGACACGGGCCUUACUCCUACGGGAGGCAGCAGUGGGGAAUUUUGGACAAUGGGGGAAACCCGUGAUCCAGCAACUCUGCGUGAGGGACGAAGUUCUUCGGAAUGUAAACCUCUUUUAUCGGGGAAGAACGGCGCAAGGCCUUGACGGUACCCGGUGAAUAAGCCACGGCUAACUAUGUGCCAGCCGCCGCCGUAAU
RNAcentral lists this ribosomal RNA (492 nucleotides) under uncultured bacterium. RNAcentral's name for it is "bacterial SSU rRNA". It matches the Rfam family "Bacterial small subunit ribosomal RNA", at positions 29 to 524 of the family's 1533-position model. The record is from RNAcentral.